AGAGAGAUAACUCAGUGGCAGAGUGCAUGUGUAGCAUGCAUGAGGUCCUAGGUUCAAUCCCCAGUACCUUCA
This 72-nucleotide transfer RNA is filed under the name Camelus bactrianus (Bactrian camel). It matches the Rfam family "tRNA". From Rfam's summary of the family: Transfer RNA (tRNA) molecules are approximately 80 nucleotides in length. The record is from Rfam by way of RNAcentral. RNAcentral also lists the same sequence under 2 other names. Lineage: Eukaryota; Metazoa; Chordata; Mammalia; Artiodactyla; Camelidae.